AUAUGGUGAAAAACCAGCCCAUUCCAUUCCAAGGUAAAUAGGUGGUGGGCUGCCUAAUGGUGGUUCAAGUAAUAAAUGAUCGGAUUGCUGUUGCUGUUGCACUUCUUGACAUUCCGAUGUGGGAAGAUAAGGUGUUAGAUAAGUGUUUAGUGCAAUAUGAUAUAACAAGAUAUUUAGAAGAUAUACUACCUGAACUCUAGCUUCAGUUAAUUUUAUCCUCAGGGCAAGUUCCUCUCUGAAGAAAACAUCAGGAUAAUGUGUUUUUUGAAACGCUCUUUCCAAUUCUUCUAAUUGAAAAUUUGUAAAAGUCGUCCGGUAUCUUCGCUGCUUUCUUUUGCCAGUUCCUCCGGACGAUUGUCUGUCUUCGUUUCCAGGACUUGGCGAAAAAUCGUACGCUAUAUACACAAAUGUAACAAAUCUAAUUCACUAACUUCUGCGUUAAACAUUUAAGAUAUACAACAAAAAUCAGAAACAUAUUUCAGAGAGUGAAUACCAUAUUUCUUUGAUUUGAUGUAAAUUUAGAUUUCGAUAACUUUGAGAAUCUUGAGAUAGUCUUUUACAGUAAAGUUUUGUAUAUUCGAGAUUUCAAAUUGAAUAUACUUUUAAUAAUGUAUUAAACGUAUUCUAUAUUUUUGAAUAUAUAAAAUUAUUCAUAAUCACGCAAAUUCAUAUAUAAUGUCGUAAACAUUUAGGAAACACUCGCAAAAAGAUGAAUCGCGCUCCCGUCGCGCUCGAGUCGUCAGUACAUCAUGUUUAAUCUCGUUGCAUUCAUCAUCGAGUAAAACGGUUCAUAACAGUUAAACUGAUUACCACUAAUUCUAUUUAAAAAAAGGGCUGCCUAUCCGCUU
Vespa crabro (European hornet) is the source of this 848-nucleotide long non-coding RNA. RefSeq lists it as uncharacterized. NCBI's taxonomy places the organism in Eukaryota, Metazoa, Arthropoda, Insecta, Hymenoptera, Vespidae. The record is from RefSeq and is a predicted model, not a curated record. The transcript has 2 exons.